RNAcentral lists this ribosomal RNA (1110 nucleotides) under Bacillus sp. (in: firmicutes). RNAcentral describes it as "bacterial SSU rRNA". It matches the Rfam family "Bacterial small subunit ribosomal RNA", at positions 44 to 1137 of the family's 1533-position model. Lineage: Bacteria; Bacillati; Bacillota; Bacilli; Caryophanales; Bacillaceae. RNAcentral also lists the same sequence under 1 other name. The record is from RNAcentral.
UAGUGCUAUACAUGCAGUCGAGCGGACAGAUGGGAGCUUGCUCCCUGAUGUUAGCGGCGGACGGGUGAGUAACACGUGGGUAACCUGCCUGUAAGACUGGGAUAACUCCGGGAAACCGGGGCUAAUACCGGAUGGUUGUUUGAACCGCAUGGUUCAGACAUAAAAGGUGGCUUCGGCUACCACUUACAGAUGGACCCGCGGCGCAUUAGCUAGUUGGUGAGGUAACGGCUCACCAAGGCGACGAUGCGUAGCCGACCUGAGAGGGUGAUCGGCCACACUGGGACUGAGACACGGCCCAGACUCCUACGGGAGGCAGCAGUAGGGAAUCUUCCGCAAUGGACGAAAGUCUGACGGAGCAACGCCGCGUGAGUGAUGAAGGUUUUCGGAUCGUAAAGCUCUGUUGUUAGGGAAGAACAAGUGCCGUUCAAAUAGGGCGGCACCUUGACGGUACCUAACCAGAAAGCCACGGCUAACUACGUGCCAGCAGCCGCGGUAAUACGUAGGUGGCAAGCGUUGUCCGGAAUUAUUGGGCGUAAAGGGCUCGCAGGCGGUUUCUUAAGUCUGAUGUGAAAGCCCCCGGCUCAACCGGGGAGGGUCAUUGGAAACUGGGGAACUUGAGUGCAGAAGAGGAGAGUGGAAUUCCACGUGUAGCGGUGAAAUGCGUAGAGAUGUGGAGGAACACCAGUGGCGAAGGCGACUCUCUGGUCUGUAACUGACGCUGAGGAGCGAAAGCGUGGGGAGCGAACAGGAUUAGAUACCCUGGUAGUCCACGCCGUAAACGAUGAGUGCUAAGUGUUAGGGGGUUUCCGCCCCUUAGUGCUGCAGCUAACGCAUUAAGCACUCCGCCUGGGGAGUACGGUCGCAAGACUGAAACUCAAAGGAAUUGACGGGGGCCCGCACAAGCGGUGGAGCAUGUGGUUUAAUUCGAAGCAACGCGAAGAACCUUACCAGGUCUUGACAUCCUCUGACAAUCCUAGAGAUAGGACGUCCCCUUCCGGGGGCAGAGUGACAGGUGGUGCAUGGUUGUCGUCAGCUCGUGUCGUGAGAUGUUGGGUAAAGUCCCGCAACAAGCGCAACCCUUGAUCUUAGUUGCCAGCAUUCAGUUGGGCA